ACCAGACAGUGUUGAAGUCCCUUCCGAGGUUGUCAGUUUAAAAGCAGGACGAAGCAGCACAGCAAUUUGUUUUUCUCCAGCCAUUGAGCUUCAGAGAUGGGGAUGGGGGAAAGUGAAACAUUCAUCCUUCUCUUCCACUAAAUAGAAACCAACAGGCCAGGAAACAAGAAGAAAACGAAAAGAAUACUGAUUUCUGGCUAAAAGAAAACAUGAGAAACAUCCAGAGAAUAAAACUGAAAACAUU
Molecule: non-coding RNA, 244 nt
Organism: Ictidomys tridecemlineatus (thirteen-lined ground squirrel)
Lineage: Eukaryota; Metazoa; Chordata; Mammalia; Rodentia; Sciuridae
Source: RefSeq, a predicted model, not a curated record